RNAcentral lists this transfer RNA (72 nucleotides) under Camelus bactrianus (Bactrian camel). It matches the Rfam family "tRNA". Rfam says of the family: Transfer RNA (tRNA) molecules are approximately 80 nucleotides in length. Their secondary structure includes four short double-helical elements and three loops (D, anti-codon, and T loops). The record is from Rfam by way of RNAcentral. Lineage: Eukaryota; Metazoa; Chordata; Mammalia; Artiodactyla; Camelidae. RNAcentral also lists the same sequence under 2 other names.
GAGGGUGUAGCUCAGUGAUAGAGAGCAUACUUGGCAUGCAUGAGGUCCUGGGUUCAAUCCCCAAUACCACCA